AUGGUCAGUAUGGAAGCAGUAGAAAUGUGGGAAACUACAGCAAAGAAGCAUCCUAAGAGGCCAAAGGUUCUGUUUCUCAGACGGAUUGAUCCAAGCGAAGCCCAGUCUUCUGUGAAAUAUGUGGCGGCAGAUGGACCAAUACGUAAGAAGGGACCCUCCAUUGAGUUCAGUCAAGUUCAGUUAACGCGGAAUAUGUUGCAGAAUGAAUGCAUAAUACGUCCAGUCCAAUCAAAUUCAAUGAAGAAACCCAAUUCAGCCUUAAAGAAAACAAUAGUUUCAGAACCCACUCAGGCCGCAUCCGAGCUGUCCAGUGUUGGGAACAGUGUGAUGCUUCCAUCUGCAAGCAUCUGCGAAACUAGCUGCAUGUGCUACAAUAGUACCUCCCUUCCUACAUGUAAGACCUUUUUUUUUUGCAGUUCAAAUUGA
Molecule: ribosomal RNA, 426 nt
Filed under: Triticum aestivum (bread wheat)
Lineage: Eukaryota; Viridiplantae; Streptophyta; Magnoliopsida; Poales; Poaceae
Description: partial small subunit ribosomal RNA
Source: RNAcentral